Long non-coding RNA from Erinaceus europaeus (western European hedgehog), 386 nucleotides. RefSeq lists it as uncharacterized. The transcript is spliced from 4 exons. The record is from RefSeq and is a predicted model, not a curated record. NCBI's taxonomy places the organism in Eukaryota, Metazoa, Chordata, Mammalia, Eulipotyphla, Erinaceidae.
AGGAUAGAGAUAAAUUGAAAAGGGAGAGGGAGAUGGAGUGUUAAGAGAAAGAGUAACACCUGCAGCACUCUUCACUGCUCAUGAAACGUUCCCCUUGGAGGUGGACCCAAGUUAUUGUCUGGGGAGAUGAUGUCAUGACUGGCAGAAGGACCAGAAAGCUGGAUCAGAGAAGAGAGUAGCUCCCAAAUAAGGGAAAAGGUUUAUGUGUCUCUACUAAGCCUCAAGCAAUUUCCUAAAACUACCAUGAAAGUAUUUCUACCUGUUUAUGACUUUAGUUGCUUCUAUUUCAGUGGAUGGUGGUUUGAUUUUGCUCGCUAACAAUGACAAUGAAGAUGCAUUUCCUUAUUGGGCAAAUGCCUGAAAACAAAAUCUUUUCAGAAAUCUGG